AACGAACGCUGGCGGCAUGCCUAACACAUGCAAGUCGAACGGGAUCCUAGCUUGCUAGGUGAGAGUGGCGGACGGGUGAGUAACACGUGGGAAUCUGCCUUUUGGUUCGGGAUAACCGCGGGAAACUGCGGCUAAUACCGAAUGCCCUCGUGAGAGGAAAGAUUUAUCGCCAGAAGAGGAGCCCGCGUCCGAUUAGGUAGUUGGUGGGGUAAAGGCCUACCAAGCCGACGAUCGGUAGCUGGUCUGAGAGGAUGAUCAGCCACACUGGGACUGAGAUACGGCCCAGACUCCUACGGGAGGCAGCAGUGGGGAAUAUUGGACAAUGGGGGCAACCCUGAUCCAGCAAUGCCGCGUGAGUGAUGAAGGCCUUAGGGUGUAAAGCUCUUUUGCCAGGGAAGAUGAUGACUGUACCUGGAGAAUAAGCCCCGGGCUAACUUCGUGCCAGCAGCCGCGGUAAU
Molecule: ribosomal RNA, 458 nt
Filed under: uncultured bacterium
Lineage: Bacteria
Description: bacterial SSU rRNA
Rfam family: Bacterial small subunit ribosomal RNA
Source: RNAcentral